RNAcentral lists this ribosomal RNA (460 nucleotides) under uncultured bacterium. Its description in RNAcentral is "partial 16S ribosomal RNA". It matches the Rfam family "Bacterial small subunit ribosomal RNA", at positions 338 to 795 of the family's 1533-position model. The record is from RNAcentral.
CCUACGGGAGGCUGCAGUGAGGAAUAUUGGUCAAUGGACGAGAGUCUGAACCAGCCAAGUAGCGUGAAGGAUGACUGCCCUAUGGGUUGUAAACUUCUUUUAUGAAGGAAUAAAACGAGGCACGUGUGCCUUUUUGCAGGUACUUUAUGAAUAAGGAUCGGCUAAUUCCGUGCCAGCAGCCGCGGUAAUACGGAGGAUCCGGGCGUUAUCCGGAUUUAUUGGGUUUAAAGGGAGCGCAGAUGGGUUCUUAAGUGAGUUGUGAAAUUUUGUGGCUCAACCGUAAAAUUGCAAUUGAUACUGGCAGGCUUGAGUACAGCUGAGGUAGGCGGAAUUCGUGGUGUAGCGGUGAAAUGCUUAGAUAUCACGAAGAACCCCGAUUGCGAAGGCAGCUUACUAUACUGUGACUGACACUGAUGCUCGAAGGUGUGGGUAUCAAACAGGAUUAGAUACCCGGGUAGUC